RNAcentral lists this transfer RNA (76 nucleotides) under Kineococcus radiotolerans. Its description in RNAcentral is "tRNA-Thr". It matches the Rfam family "tRNA". From Rfam's summary of the family: Transfer RNA (tRNA) molecules are approximately 80 nucleotides in length. Their secondary structure includes four short double-helical elements and three loops (D, anti-codon, and T loops). Further hydrogen bonds mediate the characteristic L-shaped molecular structure. tRNAs have two regions of fundamental functional importance: the anti-codon, which is responsible for specific mRNA codon recognition, and the 3' end, to which the tRNAs corresponding amino acid is attached (by aminoacyl-tRNA synthetases). tRNAs cope with the degeneracy of the genetic code in two manners: having more than one tRNA (with a specific anti-codon) for a particular amino acid; and 'wobble' base-pairing, i.e. permitting non-standard base-pairing at the 3rd anti-codon position. Lineage: Bacteria; Bacillati; Actinomycetota; Actinomycetes; Kineosporiales; Kineosporiaceae. RNAcentral also lists the same sequence under 4 other names. The record is from RNAcentral.
GCCCCUGUAGCUCAGUGGCCAGAGCAACCGCCUUGUAAGCGGUAGGUCGUCGGCUCGAUUCCGACCAGGGGCUCCA